GGCGGACGGGUGAGUAAUGCUUGGGAACUUGCCUUUGCGAGGGGGAUAACAGUUGGAAACGACUGCUAAUACCGCAUAAUGUCUACGGACCAAACGGGGCUUAGGCUCCGGCGCAGAGAGAGGCCCAAGUGAGAUUAGCUAGUUGGUAAGGUAAAGGCUUACCAAGGCGACGAUCUCUAGCUGUUCUGAGAGGAAGAUCAGCCACACUGGGACUGAGACACGGCCCAGACUCCUACGGGAGGCAGCAGUGGGGAAUAUUGCACAAUGGGGGAAACCCUGAUGCAGCCAUGCCGCGUGUGUGAAGAAGGCCUUCGGGUUGUAAAGCACUUUCAGUUGUGAGGAAAAGUUAGUAGUUAAUACCUGCUAGCCGUGACGUUAACAACAGAAGAAGCACCGGCUAACUCCGUGCCAGCAGCCGCGGUAAUACGGAGGGUGCGAGCGUUAAUCGGAAUUACUGGGCGUAAAGCGCACGCAGGCGGUUUGUUAAGCUAGAUGUGAAAGCCCCGGGCUCAACCUGGGAUGGUCAUUUAGAACUGGCAGACUAGAGUCUUGGAGAGGGGGAGUGGAAUUCCAGGUGUAGCGGUGAAAUGCGUAGAUAUCUGGAGGAACAUCAGUGGCGAAGGCG
RNAcentral lists this ribosomal RNA (625 nucleotides) under Alteromonas macleodii. RNAcentral describes it as "bacterial SSU rRNA". It matches the Rfam family "Bacterial small subunit ribosomal RNA", at positions 97 to 723 of the family's 1533-position model. Lineage: Bacteria; Pseudomonadati; Pseudomonadota; Gammaproteobacteria; Alteromonadales; Alteromonadaceae. The record is from RNAcentral.